RNAcentral lists this ribosomal RNA (1453 nucleotides) under Ferroplasma acidiphilum. RNAcentral's name for it is "16S ribosomal RNA". It matches the Rfam family "Archaeal small subunit ribosomal RNA". Lineage: Archaea; Methanobacteriati; Thermoplasmatota; Thermoplasmata; Thermoplasmatales; Ferroplasmaceae. The record is from RNAcentral.
CUCGCUCGCCCAUCYGGUUGAUCCUGCCGGCGGCCACUGCUAUCAAGUUCCGACUAAGCCAUGCGAGUCAAGGUAUCGUAAGAUGCCGGCAAACUGCUCAGUAACACGUGGAUAAUCUAACCUUGAGUAAGGGAUAACUUCGGGAAACUGAAGGUAAUACCUUAUAAUUGCUUAAAACUGGAAUGUUUUUGCAAUAAAAGUUACGACGCUCAAGGAUGAGUCUGCGACCUAUCAGGUAGUAGGUGGUGUAAUGGACCACCUAGCCUCAGACGGGUACGGRCCCUGGGAGGGGUAGCCCGGAGAUGGACUCUGAGACAUAAGUCCAGGCCCUACGGGGCGCAGCAGGCGCGAACACUGUGCAAUGCGCGAAAGCGCGACACGGGGAGCUUGAGUGUCUUGGCAUAGCCAAGACUUUUCUCAUUCCUAAAAAGCAUGAGGAAUAAGUGCUGGGUAAGACGGGUGCCAGCCGCCGCGGUAACACCCGCAGCACGAGUAGUGGUCACUUUUAUUGAGCCUAAAGCGUUCGUAGCCGGUUUUGUAAAUCUUCAGAUAAAGCCUGAAGCUUAACUCCAGAAAGUCUGAAGAGACUGCAAGACUUGRGAUCGGGUGAGGUUAAACGUACUUUCAGGGUAGGGGUAAAAUCCUGUAAUCCCGGAAGGACGACCAGUGGCGAAAGCGUUUAACUAGAACGAAUCUGACGGUAAGGAACGAAGGCUAGGGUAGCAAACCGGAUUAGAUACCCGGGUAGUCCUAGCUGUAAACAUUGCCCAUUUGAUGUUGCUUUUCCGUUGAGGGAAGGCAGUGUCGGAGCGAAGGUGUUAAAUGGGCCGCUUGGGAAGUAUGGUCGCAAGACUGAAACUUAAAGGAAUUGGCGGGGGAGCACCGCAACGGGAGGAAUGUGCGGUUUAAUUGGAUUCAACGCCGGAAAACUCACCGGGAACGACCUGUGCAUGAGAGUCAACCUGACGAGCUUACUCGAUAGCAGGAGAGGUGGUGCAUGGCCGUCGUCAGCUCGUACCGUAGGGCGUUCACUUAAGUGUGAUAACGAGCGAGACCCACAUCUUUAAUUGCAAAUGUAUAUGAGAAUAUGCAUGCACUUUAGAGAAACCGCCAGCGCUAAGCUGGAGGAAGGAGUGGUCGACGGCAGGUCAGUACGCCCCGAAUUUCCCGGGCUACACGCGCAUUACAAAGAACGGGACAAUACGUUGCAACCUCGAAAGAGGAAGCUAAUCGCGAAACCCGUCCAUAGUUAGGAUUGAGGGCUGUAACUCGCCCUCAUGAAUCUGGAUUCCGUAGUAAUCGCGGGUCAACAACCCGCGGUGAACAUGCCCCUGCUCCUUGCACACACCGCCCGUCAAACCAUCCGAGUUGGUGUUGGAUGAGGUUUAAUUCGAGAGGGUUAAAUCAAAUCUGAUGUCGGUGAGGAGGGUUAAGUCGUAACAAGGUAACCGUA